GACGAACGCUGGCGGCGUGCUUAACACAUGCAAGUCGAGCGGUAAGGCUCCUUCGGGCGUACACGAGCGGCGAACGGGCGAGUAACACGUGAGUAAUCUGCCCUUCACUUCGGGAUAACCACCGGAAACGGUGGCUAAUACCGGAUACGACCAGUCUCUGCAUGGAGUGCUGGUGGAAAGUAUUUUCGGUGGAGGAUGUGCUCGCGGCAUAUCAGCUUGUUGGUGGGGUAACGGCCCACCAAGGUGACGAUCAGUAGCCGACCUGAGAGGGUGAUCGGCCACACUGGGACUGAGACACGGCGCAGACUCCUACGGGAGGCAGCAGUGGGGAAUAUUGGGCAAUGGGCGAAAGCCUGACCCAGCAACGCCGCGUGAGGGAAAAAGGUUUUCGGAUCGUAAACCUCUGUCCUUGGGGACGAAAGAAAUGACGGUACCCAAGGAGGAAGCCCCGGCUAACUACGUGCCAGCCGCCGCGGUAA
This 479-nucleotide ribosomal RNA is filed under the name uncultured bacterium. RNAcentral describes it as "partial 16S ribosomal RNA". It matches the Rfam family "Bacterial small subunit ribosomal RNA", at positions 28 to 523 of the family's 1533-position model. The record is from RNAcentral.